This 1369-nucleotide ribosomal RNA is filed under the name uncultured bacterium. RNAcentral's name for it is "16S ribosomal RNA". It matches the Rfam family "Bacterial small subunit ribosomal RNA". The record is from RNAcentral.
AGUUUGAUCCUGGCUCAGGACGAACGCUGGCGGCGCGCCUAACACAUGCAAGUCGAACGAGAGAGAGGGAGCUUGCUUCUUCAAUCGAGUGGCGAACGGGUGAGUAACGCGUGAGGAACCUGCCUCAAAGAGGGGGACAACAGUUGGAAACGACUGCUAAUACCGCAUAAGCCCACGGCUCGGCAUCGAGCAGAGGGAAAAGGAGCAAUCCGCUUUGAGAUGGCCUCGCGUCCGAUUAGCUAGUUGGUGAGGUAAUGGCCCACCAAGGCAACGAUCGGUAGCCGGACUGAGAGGUUGAACGGCCACAUUGGGACUGAGACACGGCCCAGACUCCUACGGGAGGCAGCAGUGGGGAAUAUUGCACAAUGGGGGAAACCCUGAUGCAGCGACGCCGCGUGGAGGAAGAAGGUCUUCGGAUUGUAAACUCCUGUUGUUGAGGAAGAUAAUGACGGUACUCAACAAGGAAGUGACGGCUAACUACGUGCCAGCAGCCGCGGUAAAACGUAGGUCACAAGCGUUGUCCGGAAUUACUGGGUGUAAAGGGAGCGCAGGCGGGAAGACAAGUUGGAAGUGAAAUCUAUGGGCUCAACCCAUAAACUGCUUUCAAAACUGUUUUUCUUGAGUAGUGCAGAGGUAGGCGGAAUUCCCGGUGUAGCGGUGGAAUGCGUAGAUAUCGGGAGGAACACCAGUGGCGAAGGCGGCCUACUGGGCACCAACUGACGCUGAGGCUCGAAAGUGUGGGUAGCAAACAGGAUUAGAUACCCUGGUAGUCCACACCGUAAACGAUGAUUACUAGGUGUUGGAGGAUUGACCCCUUCAGUGCCGCAGUUAACACAAUAAGUAAUCCACCUGGGGAGUACGACCGCAAGGUUGAAACUCAAAGGAAUUGACGGGGGCCCGCACAAGCAGUGGAGUAUGUGGUUUAAUUCGACGCAACGCGAAGAACCUUACCAAGUCUUGACAUCCUGCGACGCGCAUAGAAAUAUGUUUUUCCUUCGGGACGCAGAGACAGGUGGUGCAUGGUUGUCGUCAGCUCGUGUCGUGAGAUGUUGGGUUAAGUCCCGCAACGAGCGCAACCCUUAUUGCCAGUUACUACGUUAAGAGGACUCUGGCGAGACUGCCGUUGACAAAACGGAGGAAGGUGGGGAUGACGUCAAAUCAUCAUGCCCUUUAUGACUUGGGCUACACACGUACUACAAUGGCGUUAAACAAAGAGAAGCAAGACCGCGAGGUGGAGCAAAACUCAGAAACAACGUCCCAGUUCGGACUGCAGGCUGCAACUCGCCUGCACGAAGUCGGAAUUGCUAGUAAUCGUGGAUCAGCAUGCCACGGUGAAUACGUUCCCGGGCCUUGCACACACCGCCCGUCA